RNA transcript from Homo sapiens (human), 2798 nucleotides. It is a transcript of the gene named ankyrin repeat and SOCS box containing 13, with no coding region annotated. NCBI's taxonomy places the organism in Eukaryota, Metazoa, Chordata, Mammalia, Primates, Hominidae. The record is from RefSeq and is marked reviewed. The transcript is spliced from 7 exons.
AGGUCCCGGCGCCCAGAGUCGCCGCGCGGCCGCCGGUGAGCCGCAUGGAGCCCCGGGCGGCGGACGGCUGCUUCCUGGGCGACGUGGGUUUCUGGGUGGAGCGGACCCCUGUGCACGAGGCAGCCCAGCGGGGUGAGAGCCUGCAGCUGCAACAGCUGAUCGAGAGCGGCGCCUGCGUGAACCAGGUCACCGUGGACUCCAUCACGCCCCUGCACGCAGCCAGUCUGCAGGGCCAGGCGCGGUGUGUGCAGCUGCUGCUGGCGGCUGGGGCCCAGGUGGAUGCUCGCAACAUCGACGGCAGCACCCCGCUCUGCGAUGCCUGCGCCUCGGGCAGCAUCGAGUGUGUGAAGCUCUUGCUGUCCUACGGGGCCAAGGUCAACCCUCCCCUGUACACAGCGUCCCCCCUGCACGAGGCCUGCAUGAGCGGGAGUUCCGAAUGUGUGAGGCUUCUUAUUGACGUCGGGGCCAAUCUGGAAGCGCACGAUUGCCAUUUUGGGACCCCUCUGCACGUUGCCUGUGCCCGGGAGCAUCUGGACUGUGUCAAAGUGCUGCUCAAUGCAGCUUGAUGAAUGUCUGCUCUUAUCGUGAGAAAGUUGAGGAGUGCAGAGCUUACUCUCUUCUCUGAAUUGCCUACUGUUUUGGGGGCCAACGUGAAUGCGGCAAAGCUUCAUGAGACUGCCCUUCACCACGCGGCCAAGGUCAAGAAUGUUGACCUCAUCGAGAUGCUUAUCGAGUUUGGCGGCAACAUCUACGCCCGGGACAACCGCGGGAAGAAGCCGUCUGACUACACGUGGAGCAGCAGCGCUCCCGCCAAGUGCUUCGAGUACUACGAAAAGACACCUCUGACUCUGUCACAGCUCUGCAGGGUGAACUUGAGGAAGGCCACUGGCGUCCGAGGGCUGGAGAAGAUUGCCAAGUUAAACAUCCCGCCCCGGCUCAUUGAUUACCUCUCCUACAACUGAAUUGCAGGUGGGGUCCGGACCGUGGCUGCCCCCGUUGUGCCCAGCAUUGCCCGGGUGAGGGCUCUGCCUGUUCCUCUGAAGCAGCGUGAUUGCUGUAGAUAGAACAACGCUCCUUCGAGUCCCUUCCUGCGAUCCUGUUUAGGCUUCUCUCCUGGAUCCUGGAUAAUGUUUCCAGGGUGUUGGGAAGGCCUGCGUCUCAGGUCACAGUUGUGGGUGUGGCCCUGCGCUGUUCUACAGAACCUACCCUCUCAAUGGGCAUGGGCCCAACCAUCCAGUUUUCCUCUUUUACGGACCAUCCUCAAAGGCACUCUCAGGACAGACGGCGUGGGGAGCACAGAGGAGGCUGGCAGAGCUGGGGACUGAGGGCAUUGUUGCUGAUUCUCACUCACCGGGGCAGCCUGCCGCAGAUGCACAGGCCCCAGGUGCAGGCCACCACCUCCGGGUCGGCACCAGGACUGCCCUCGGUGCUCAUAGGGAAUGGCUGGGCCCACGGAAGGUCGGCCUGGGAUGUGGCCUGGGACUGCUGCUCUGCUGGCUGCUGUGUGGAUGCUUUUCCUGGAGCACUUUCCAAGGCAUCCCCCAGCCCCAAGCCUGCGCGCAUCUGUCACUCAGGGACUUUCUAUGGGUCUUUGUGGGGGAAGGCCCUGGCUUUGUAUUCCCCACAAGUAGCACUGAGUUUCUUAGGAAAUUUGUCUUCAGUAUUAGGUCUCCAACUCUUGUAAAAAGUUUAUAUGUAGGAUAAAAACCUUUUAGAGGACACGUAGGCGGUACCACUAAGGUUUUGGUAAUGAGCCAUUCAAACCGACAGCAGUGUGAAGGUGUGUCAAGGUGUAUAUUCUCGUGGCUCGGCAUUCUCAGUGCAAAGGCCUGUUUGGAGACUCUGUGGGAAUUGUUUUUCAUCUGUUUCUAUGGUUGUCAAAUGAAUUCUUCACCCACCCUACAGUUUGCUAACUCCUUGAAGCUAUCAAAUUAGUAAGACCAUCUAUCACAUCCAGCAUUGUCCCAGUGCUUUGAGUUGGACGGGAAUGGGACUCUGCAGCCAAGGCAGGAUAAGAAAAUCUUGCAAUCCCGUCCUGCAGUGAUAGAAACAGGUCGUUCUGCAUUAUAAGCCAUAGGUGGAGCAUUCGGUAGCGUAUUCAGACUGCAUGGGCCGGCCUAGGAGUCUUUGCCUUCAUAAAUUUUAAGAACCCCGCCCACAACAGGGAGUUAAACUGGAGGACUUUGCAUGAUUAGUUCAGGGAUGAGUGGUUUCUGGGGCAUCUGAGGUCAGGAGUUUGAAACCAGCCUGGCCAACUUGAUGAAACCCCAUCUCUACCCAUUCUGGAGAACAGGUCACGCCUGUCCUGGAGACAGUGUGCCGGGAAAAGGGAACGUGGUACUCACUGGAUGCACCCAGGCCGGCCCGAGCCUCCCACCGCAGACAGUGUGGAACAGAGUGAGCCUGAGCUGCCCAAGGCGAUGCCCUUUGUGCUGUAUGACUGGAGGCCUCUCCGCGUGGGUACUUGGGGGUGGGGCCACAAAUCUGGCGAAAAACUUCAUGCUGGCCGCCGUGAGGUUUUACUCCAGCGUUCCCGCCAUUGUCAUGGCGGGUCUUCGUCCUAAACUGAGAAGAAAAGCAUUCCUGUUUGAUCACCGCCUUAGUUACCAGUUCUGGAUCAGUCAGUGUUUCUGCAUGGAAUAACAACCAUUAAAAAAAGCACUGGGUUCUGCCCUUUCAUCUUUGUAAGAGAUUCUUGCCUCUAGCAAUGACAACCUGUGAUGUCUCACAGUAGAGCACUUAGCGCAGAAUCAGGUCCCCACGGCUGUUGCUCAAUAAAAGUGGCGGAAUAAAGUGCA